AGCAAUACACACUCUACACCAGUUGGUGGCGGAAAAACACUGUUUUGCUGUUUGUCAACCGAGUAAAAUCACAAGAAGAAGAGGAUUUGUUUUGGCUGGACGGAGGUGAACAUGGCUGAUGUGUCGGAGAGGACGUUACAGGUCGCGAUAGUCGUCUCGUUUGCGGCUGGUUUUGUCGCCGGUUGGCAGGCAAACAGGAUGCGAAGAAAGUUCUUGGACUGGCGGAAAAAGAGGUUGCAGGACAAACUCGCGGAAACACAGAAGAAGCUUGACCUGUCGUGACAGAUACAAGUUAUCACGUAACCGACCUGUGCCAUGUGGUCUUCAAUGCUGUGAUUUCAUGAGCAGAAUCAAGUGAAUGAACGAGGAUCAAGCUGUCAAGUCUUUGGAUCAAGUCACAAGCUACAGCAAGGAACACACCUGUCAAAGACUUUAAACACUGAGAAAAACAAUGUAUUUCUAAGAUUGUUUUGUUUAAUGUUUGUGCAAGCCAUAUCCAUAAUGUUACCACAUCUGUGCUCUCUUCUUGUUUGUCGAAGUCGAAAUAAACUGAAAUAUUUUGAUAACA
Non-coding RNA from Danio rerio (zebrafish), 568 nucleotides. The record is from RefSeq and is a predicted model, not a curated record. NCBI's taxonomy places the organism in Eukaryota, Metazoa, Chordata, Actinopteri, Cypriniformes, Danionidae.